UAAAAACCCCGACUUCGGAAGGGGUGUAUUUAUUAGAUACAAAACCAAUGCCCUUCGGGGCUCUUUGGUGAUUCAUGAUUACUAUACGAAUCGCACGGCCUUGCGCCGGCGAUGGUUCAUUCAAAUUUCUUCCCUAUCAACUUUCGAUGUUUGGGUAUUGGCCAAACAUGGUUGCAACGGGUAACGGAGGGUUAGGGCUCGACCCCGGAGAAGGAGCCUGAGAAACGGCUACUACAUCCAAGGAAGGCAGCAGGCGCGCAAAUUACCCAAUCCCGACUCGGGGAGGUAGUGACAAUAAAUACUGAUACAGGGCCCUUUCGGGCCUUGUAAUUGGAAUGAGUACAAUUUAAAUCCCUUAACGAGGAACAAUUGGAGGGCAAGUCUGGUGCCAGCAGCCGCGGUAAUUCCAGCUCCAAUAGCGUAUAUUAAAGUUGUUGUGGUUAAAAAGCUCGUAGUUGAACCUUGGGCCUGGCUGGCCGGUCCGCCUCACCGCGUGCACUGGUCCGGCCGGGCCUUUCCCUCUGUGGAACCCCAUACCCUUCACUGGGCGUGGCGGGGAAACAGGACAUUUACUUU
Molecule: ribosomal RNA, 576 nt
Filed under: uncultured eukaryote
Lineage: Eukaryota
Description: SSU rRNA
Rfam family: Eukaryotic small subunit ribosomal RNA
Source: RNAcentral